This 1661-nucleotide ribosomal RNA is filed under the name Salmonella enterica. Its description in RNAcentral is "partial 23S ribosomal RNA". It matches the Rfam family "Bacterial large subunit ribosomal RNA", at positions 1159 to 2803 of the family's 2925-position model. Lineage: Bacteria; Pseudomonadati; Pseudomonadota; Gammaproteobacteria; Enterobacterales; Enterobacteriaceae. The record is from RNAcentral.
CUGCGCGGAAGAUGUAACGGGGCUAAACCAUGCACCGAAGCUGCGGCAGCGACACUGUGUGUUGUUGGGUAGGGGAGCGUUCUGUAAGCCUGUGAAGGUGUGUCGUGAGGCAUGCUGGAGGUAUCAGAAGUGCGAAUGCUGACAUAAGUAACGAUAAAGCGGGUGAAAAGCCCGCUCGCCGGAAGACCAAGGGUUCCUGUCCAACGUUAAUCGGGGCAGGGUGAGUCGACCCCUAAGGCGAGGCCGAAAGGCGUAGUCGAUGGGAAACGGGUUAAUAUUCCCGUACUUGGUGUUACUGCGAAGGGGGGACGGAGAAGGCUAUGUUGGCCGGGCGACGGUUGUCCCGGUUUAAGCGUGUAGGUGUGUGUUCCAGGUAAAUCCGGUUCACUUUAACACUGAGGCGUGACGACGAGGCACUACGGUGCUGAAGCAACAAAUGCCCUGCUUCCAGGAAAAGCCUCUAAGCAUCAGGUAACAUCAAAUCGUACCCCAAACCGACACAGGUGGUCAGGUAGAGAAUACCAAGGCGCUUGAGAGAACUCGGGUGAAGGAACUAGGCAAAAUGGUGCCGUAACUUCGGGAGAAGGCACGCUGACACGUAGGUGAAGUGAUUUACUCAUGGAGCUGAAGUCAGUCGAAGAUACCAGCUGGCUGCAACUGUUUAUUAAAAACACAGCACUGUGCAAACACGAAAGUGGACGUAUACGGUGUGACGCCUGCCCGGUGCCGGAAGGUUAAUUGAUGGGGUCAGCGCAAGCGAAGCUCCUGAUCGAAGCCCCGGUAAACGGCGGCCGUAACUAUAACGGUCCUAAGGUAGCGAAAUUCCUUGUCGGGUAAGUUCCGACCUGCACGAAUGGCGUAAUGAUGGCCAGGCUGUCUCCACCCGAGACUCAGUGAAAUUGAACUCGCUGUGAAGAUGCAGUGUACCCGCGGCAAGACGGAAAGACCCCGUGAACCUUUACUAUAGCUUGACACUGAACAUUGAGCCUUGAUGUGUAGGAUAGGUGGGAGGCUUUGAAGUGUGGACGCCAGUCUGCAUGGAGCCGACCUUGAAAUACCACCCUUUAAUGUUUGAUGUUCUAACGUGGACCCGUUACCCGGGUUGCGGACAGUGUCUGGUGGGUAGUUUGACUGGGGCGGUCUCCUCCUAAAGAGUAACGGAGGAGCACGAAGGUUGGCUAAUCCUGGUCGGACAUCAGGAGGUUAGUGCAAUGGCAUAAGCCAGCUUGACUGCGAGCGUGACGGCGCGAGCAGGUGCGAAAGCAGGUCAUAGUGAUCCGGUGGUUCUGAAUGGAAGGGCCAUCGCUCAACGGAUAAAAGGUACUCCGGGGAUAACAGGCUGAUACCGCCCAAGAGUUCAUAUCGACGGCGGUGUUUGGCACCUCGAUGUCGGCUCAUCACAUCCUGGGGCUGAAGUAGGUCCCAAGGGUAUGGCUGUUCGCCAUUUAAAGUGGUACGCGAGCUGGGUUUAGAACGUCGUGAGACAGUUCGGUCCCUAUCUGCCGUGGGCGCUGGAGAACUGAGGGGGGCUGCUCCUAGUACGAGAGGACCGGAGUGGACGCAUCACUGGUGUUCGGGUUGUCAUGCCAAUGGCACUGCCCGGUAGCUAAAUGCGGAAGAGAUAAGUGCUGAAAGCAUCUAAGCACGAAACUUGCCCCGAG